This is an RNA transcript of Tachysurus vachellii, 3695 nucleotides long. It is a transcript of the gene named ring finger protein 217, with no coding region annotated. The record is from RefSeq and is a predicted model, not a curated record. NCBI's taxonomy places the organism in Eukaryota, Metazoa, Chordata, Actinopteri, Siluriformes, Bagridae. The transcript has 7 exons.
UAUAAUAAGGGAGCGUGACGCUUGACAAACUGAUAUACUCGCUCUCUCUCUUUAGCUUUCUUUACCAUGACUUAUUAUGAUGCGUUUUGAAUUCCAGUGGGACAGUAAGGUGUGUUUGGUUCAUUUUAAAAGAAAUGACGUCGUUUACAACGGCUAACGGGAGCUGGGAUGAAGUGAACAGGGAUUUGUUUUUGUAUCUUGAGCCGGAAGUGGAAGCUUCAUGGCAGUUGCGCGCUUGUUUAGGAGUUUAAAACAAGGCAAUUUCACAAAUGUGGACUUUUCUGUGUGUCGGGAAUGGGAGAUGAUGUCGGCUGCGUGAAUGUGGCCUCGAAUAAUAUGCUUAGUUUUACUGGAGAAAGCGUCGAUAAUGUCUCGGACGUGGUUGUUGAAGUUGGGACGCAAAGCUCUGAUUUUGGAGAGAAAGACGAAGAGACCAAGGAGCCGAGUGUGGACAAUGUUUUGGACUUUCAGUACUACAAAAACGAAAGCAGGGAUAAAGACACGUGUAGAACAACGUCACCGGUAGAAAUCCUGAAGAGAAAUUUUGGAAUACGUAAAACAUCUGUAACUGGUGGUGACGGUAACGUGGAAACCCCGAGAGAGUCGGACAAAGUCGACUCCAUGCUGGAGAACUUGGACCACAGAAGGAACCGAAGGACACGAUAUAGCAACUCUCUACACGACGAAGAGGAAAAUCCCAGAUCAGAAGUCCCAGAUCUCUUAACAUCCUUGGAAUUAGAAGAUCCAGAACUUCAUGUUUCUGGAGAAAACCAUGAUUCCACAAGCGCAGUUGAACAUCACCGAUCCAAAGAGCACGUCUACUGCACCGUAUACUGUAUAGCCAAUGACAACUAUAGGAAACCUUCAGAAACCACGCUGUCGUCGGAACAUGGAAGUCCGUCUCAGUCGGAUGUGUAUGUUUUACCUCAUACAGACUCCUCAAAUUCAGAUCCAGAACUUGAUCAUUUUCCAGAGAUGUACACGUUGAGCGACCUUGCAGAACCUCCAGUGUUGAACAAUGUUCUCUACGUGGGUAACUUUCCCUUACAGUGUCGCGUGUGUCUUGUUGUCAGAUCCAUCACUUCCCUGCACUGUUGCAAAAAGCCGGUGUGUGAAGAGUGUAUGAAAACAUACAUCACUUCUCAGGUUGUCUCAGGCCUUGCGGAGAUAGUGUGUCCGAUCCCUGAGUGCAGUGGGUACCUGGCUGAGAGCGUGGUGCUGGCCCACCUGGCCUCUGAGAAUGUGGCGAAGUAUAAGUACUUCCUGGAACUUGGCAGACUGGACUCGGGAACUAAGACCUGUCCAAAGUGUAGCUUGUUCACUUCACUGAAGGGACGCGGAGAGCCAACGCAAAGCAAAGUUGAGCCCAAGUACAAGAUCCAGUGCAGUAAGUGCGAGUUGGUGUGGUGUUUUAGAUGCCAUGCACCUUGGCAUGAGGGUUUGAAGUGCCGUGAGUACAGGAAGGGAGACAAGCUGCUGCAUAACUGGGCCAGCAUUAUUGAGCACGGACAGAGGAAUGCCCAGAAAUGCCCACGCUGCAAGGUCCAUAUCCAGAGAGUGGACGGGUGCGAUCACAUGACCUGCAGGCAGUGCAACACCAACUUCUGUUAUCGCUGUGGUGAGAAAUAUCGGCAGCUGCGCUUUUUCGGAGAUCACACCUCCAACCUGAGCGUGUUCGGCUGCAAGUACCGGUAUCUACCCGAGAAACCGCAUCUGCGUCGCUUCAUCCGUGGAUCGGUGUGCGCAGGUAAAGUGCUGGUGGCCCCAGUGCUCAUUGUGCUGGUGGUGGUGAUCGGAGCCUUGGCUCUGGUUAUAGGUCUGGUCGCAUUCCCCAUUUACUACAUCUGUAAGAAGAAUAAACACCCUAAUGGUAUGGGACGCUGGCUGUGCUGAGACUGCACUUCUCUCUCACACACACAUGCGCACUACACACUGAUAUGGAUGAUGGUCGAGUGAACUCUCUGUUGUUUUCCUUUACCUCCAACACACGGUUGGCUUCUCCAUCAAGGAUUUUCACAGCACAACAGCGUAUGUGAGAGUUCAUCCAGUUUACACACUUACCUGUAGACGGAAUUGACGCUUCAUGUGCGAGUCGUUCAUUCUUUUUACCACAUAGAAUGCUUUUAUCUGGAAGUUUCAAGUGAUUAUUCAGGGGAAAUGAGGGUGAUGGAUAUGUCAAUGUGUAUUCAGUUCAUACACACACACCCUGACCCAGCAUGUUGCACUGCACCUCUACUGGAAUUUUGCGCCAUCAUCAAAAGUGUGUGUGUGUGUGUGUCUGUGUGUGUGUGCAUUUAUUCGUUCGUUCCCACACUGAAGACAACAGCCGCUGCAGAUUAGCCAGGGAUCUAUGCCAAAUUCGGAUGCUGAGCAGACUUAAUGCCUGGGAGAUUAUCACCAUGCCAUUUGUAUCAGUCCUGAGGCCUUGUUUACCCCUCACAACAUGCAUCGUGUAUCUGCAGAUCCAUAUCCAAACUUGUCUGUGCUAUUACACUUGGUAUUUAUAUGCAUUCAGUGUUGGAGGUGCGAGGUGUAAUUGGGAAGCAGUUAGAGGUGAGGUUACACUUGCUUUUCUUUAGCCAGCAGGGGUGCCAGUAUUUAUGAUUUAGUUGUUGCAUGUUUGCAGACAGUUCACUGAAGGGGAAAGGACACAGGAUAUGGAAAAUCCGUGACCUCGAAACAAGAGGGCGAGGUUCAUCCUAUAGAAGUGAACCUCCAGUAUAUUUGCACACGUGUUCCGUAUCUGAACUUUGACACCAGUGAUGAGCGGCUGAUAUAAUGGCGAUGAAUAUCACAGACUCAUAUCCAGUGUUGUAUAUUACGCUCAGUGACUAUAACGUGUUUGUUACAAACAUUAACUCAAGAAAGGCACGGUGUCUGAGGCGAGACGAGGCGCUCGUAACACACCUUACCUACGGAGUUUCGGUGAUGACAAUCACACGUUUCCAUCUAACAUUCAAUCAGGCUGGAGAUUUUCAUGACACUUUUAUUCUCAGGGAGUGCAUUCGGACAUUCACACACAACUCUUUCACUCCUGCAAUGGUGUUUGUCAGAUCACAGCCUUGCUCUCGCAUCGAGAAUCAGAAACAAGGAAAAGGUCCAUGAACUUUUAUUUGAGACCUGCUGUUGCACUCUGCUGUGAGCCAAAGGCCCCGACUGGGUCACUUUCAGUGGUAUUACUGAUGUAUUUCUGAUGUAUCUUUUAUCCUUUUGUGCCUUUUAAUAUGCUGUAAAUGGGAUCGUUUUAGAGGGAUUUUUUUAAAAAAAAACUUAUUUGAAUUUUGAGUCGCAUUUGUCAUGAGUGCAUGCACACUUUCCAAAUGAUCCUGUGGUACAUGUAUGAGACCACUGCACAAUCCAUUUUUUUUUUAAAUAAUUAACAAUUUUGGUAUGAAUACACCUUAUAUGUAUGUUUUUUUUUUUUGUUUGUUUUUUUUCUUGAUUUUGUUUUGUACCUCCCCAAAUCCUCUUACAAUGCUUAAUCUUGUAUGCUGCUGCACUUUAUCUUCAGAGACUGACGUGUCAGUCAACUUCGGCAGACCAUGGUUACUACGUGUAAUUAAAAGGACCGGGGUGAAAUACAAAGAUUUGUUUAUUAAUCUUGACGGUGUGAUAAUAGUGACCCAAAUAUGUGGUUUUGGCCUUAAUGCUAAUAAUUAAAAAGACACAAUGCAACAAACACUGCAAGUAGAACA